AUGGCACUCAGCAUGGAGUUCUCUUUAACUGUUUCUUAGCAUUAUGGCAACUGAGACAGUGUUGCCAACAUCUGUGAUAUUUGGUGUUUUUCAUAAAGCCUGAGCUCCUGGAGUCGUGAUUUCAUAAGAAUCUCUGUUUUAAUUUAAAUAAAUAAAAAUAAAGGCCCUCAUGGUUGUGGAAAAAAGCUUGAAAAUAUGACCAAGUGUACCCUAAAGACUCAGAAACUAGAAGGCAAAUAUAAAGAACCCCAAAUCUAUUUUUUAAAAAUAAACAGACUCAUGAUUUUUUAAUGCUCAGAGUUGGCAAGACUGCAGAGAUAGGAUAAUAUUUUUAGAAUUAUGAUCUAAAAGUAGCAUAGCAAAGACUAUUGAUUAGAGAAGAGGCUUCAGAAUCAGGAUUUUUAAAAUCUCUUCCCAGUUCUGAUAUUGUCUUGCCAUGUGAUUCUGUGCAACCUUUCUCAGCUUUAGUUUUACCAUCUCUAGAAAGGGGAUAAUCAUCCGUCAUUAUAGGAAUGAGCACAGAAUUUAAGAGCCAGGAAUGACUGAGUAUUAUUUCCUUCCCUAAUAUUACUCUCCCAUCUAAAUUAAAGGACUAACUGUUCCUAAUUGAACGGAAAGCAGGGGAGAAUAGACCCAUGCUGAUUAGUGUUCUGAACUAUUCCACACUAGCACUCUUCUAAAUAGUGUCAGUGUUCUCUGGGUACAUCUCCCAUAGUUCCUGGUGAGGCCCACAGAAACAAGAGAUUCUGAAAGAGCUGUAGUGCCCUGUGUGACAGUAGGCAGAAGACUAUGGGUACUAUUUUAGUGCCAUCCACACUAGCACUUACAUUGUGCAGACUAAACUGGUGUUUAGUUCUGCUGAAAGCAAGCUUAAUCAAUCCAGCUAUAUUUAGUAGGCAUGUAAACCAUUUGGAGCACUAGGUGGACAUUAACCAUGUUGCGGGGGGUGGUCUAGGCAUAGCACAGAAAUUUUCUCUGCUGUAGGCAAAGCUUUAGAGGUCCUGGGUCCCCAGAGUAUACCCCUCUUAUAAUGGCCUGGGAGGGAGAAAUAAUUCAUUCUACACAGCUGCCCUUCCUGAAAACUCCUGCACUCUGGGCUGAUUGAUGCUUCUCCGAGGCAGAAGGUUAACCCUUUCCUUGCCAACUGCUGGACAGAGCCUAGACACCUCAUGACUAGUGGCAGCUAUUUAGUUAAUAUUGGCAAAUCUCUUCAAAAUGCAAACUAUUAAGUAUAAAAUUUAAAUAUGUUGGAUACAUUCACAAACCAAAAGACCAGUAUGCCUUCAGCUCUGUCCUCUAGCGCCAAAUCACUGCUAGGACUCCUUGAGCCAAAUAUUACUCAGUCUGUCAAAGGUUCCAAAGAAAUUUCAUCUUAGGAGCCUCAUAUGCUCACCCAAAGAACUUCAGGCAGAUCCAAACUGCACCCUUCCCUCUUUAGAUGCUCUCUGUGGAUCCCUAGCAUUUUUAGGAUUUCAUUCCAGCUGCCUGUUAGCAUCACAACAGUUCUUUGAAGAUGUUAUUGCUCACUUCUGUGAAGGGAAUGUGGAAGCCUUUGAAAGUGAUAUAGCUUACACUUCACAGCACUAAGAUAAAAAACAGCUCAGUUGUUUACAUUAAUUGUAAGUUAUCUCAAUCUUGUUUUAAACAAAGCAAGGGUUCUCUGAUAGACCCUCCAGCAGCGCUGUAUCCAUUCCCAAGGUUUCUGGUCCCUUUGAAGAGUGUUGAGUCUGCAGCCAUGGUCCUAGGAAGACAAACCACCACUGAGGCUAGGUGGGCAACUCAGGACAUGUCACUCCAUGAGGAUAUUCAGCCAGGGCAGCAUCUUUCUGACUAGGUGACCACAAAAAAGAAAAAACUUCCAGGAUGUAGUUUGCUCAGAUGUGUUAAUGAUUACCUUUUUGAAACCCAUGACUUCAGUGGGUUGCUGCAGUGGAGGAUUCUUGGCCAUGUUAGAGGUUAAACAUUGAUCAUUCAGGAUAGCAUAAGGCGCAGUGCUUCUGCUUUUAAAAUGACUCUCUGCAGCCUCUCCUCCCAUCACCAAACCCCUGCACAAAAUCCACAGUCAUGGAUCACUUGCAGCUAAAUCACCCUAUUUUGUACUCAAGACUGCCUGGUCAUUAUAGGAAUAAUGGUGAGGAAAUUAUGGUUUGUUUUUUUAGCAAACAGAAUGCAUAUGCAGCUUAAUUUAACAGCAAAUUCACACUUAAUAGCAGCACAAUCCAGAAGCUCUAAGUAAGGGUUAAAUCCAAACAAUGUAUUGUUGGGAAGUUAAUUGCUCUUUGAUUUUUCACGUGAAAAGGGGGUGCUGCUGAAAUAUAAAAACAAUUGAGCUGGAAGUUUUGCUCCUGCCCAAAGGAAAAAAAGAGAACUUGCAAGACAGGGAAGUAGCUUGUUGCAGAGCUGUAUUAGGCAGUAUUCCACAUGCAUCCACCACUCUGCCUGCUGUUUUUUUUCUCCUGCUGACUUCUGUCUCCUGGAUGAUGGGGGCUGCUGCACGUCCAGUACAGGAAAGACACAUAUUGAAAGACAGCAAGUACUUUCAGGAACUGACAGAUGCAAAGAGAAGCACCUUGCUCACUUUCCCCUCUGCACUGGCUGUCUGGAUAUCCCAGAUGGAGGAGGAGGUACAGCUGGCCAACUGGCAAGAGAGAUCUGCCUUUCAUCAACCUGGAGCGUGGGAAAAGUCCCCCUUGCAGGAACUUCUUCUAGAAGACUUUCUCCUCCUGCUAACAAAAUAGCUUCUUGAAGAUCUAUUUUAGAGUGGCUUUAGCAACAGCUGCCUCAAUCAGGAUGAAUAUGAUCUGUGACAUGAACUGUCUCUUUGUAAUAAGUGUGAUUAGACUCUCCCCAUCCUCAUUCUCUAAUAAAAAUUGAAUAGAACUC
This is a long non-coding RNA of Mauremys mutica (yellowpond turtle), 2883 nucleotides long. RefSeq lists it as uncharacterized. The transcript is spliced from 2 exons. Lineage: Eukaryota; Metazoa; Chordata; Testudines; Geoemydidae. The record is from RefSeq and is a predicted model, not a curated record.